This 367-nucleotide long non-coding RNA is filed under the name Solanum tuberosum (potato). RNAcentral describes it as "long non-coding RNA (STUB_LNC000292)". Lineage: Eukaryota; Viridiplantae; Streptophyta; Magnoliopsida; Solanales; Solanaceae. The record is from RNAcentral.
GAUUAGCUAUGGGUUACGGAGUAUCUUCUUGACCUCCAUUGUUGAAGCUCUGUAAAGAGAGCUAGAGGUAUGUUUGUUCCCUAUCCUCCCAUAUUUUUCUUGUCUGAUUUAUGACUGAUUUUAUUUUAUAUUUCUCAUUGUAGUGUGAUUAUUGAAUGUAUUGUUGAUUUUUGGAUUUUCACGAAUCUCUUUUCUUGGCUUUCAGCCCUACAAUCUUCAUUUUUCAAAGUUUCAGCUAUGUAAAAAAGUUAUUGAGUUUGGCGACUAUAAAUCCAUUCCAUGGUCGCUGGUUUGGUUCGCCGGAGCUGUUGGAGCAACGGUGAGGGAGAGAUGGGUGAGUGGUGGUCAGGUUUCAUGGUGGAUUAAG